GAGGGGAUAGCUCAGGGGUAGAGUGUGUGCUUAGCAUGCACGGGGUCCUCGGUUCAAUCCCCAGUACCUCCA
Molecule: transfer RNA, 72 nt
Filed under: Camelus ferus (Wild Bactrian camel)
Lineage: Eukaryota; Metazoa; Chordata; Mammalia; Artiodactyla; Camelidae
Rfam family: tRNA
About the family: Transfer RNA (tRNA) molecules are approximately 80 nucleotides in length. Their secondary structure includes four short double-helical elements and three loops (D, anti-codon, and T loops). Further hydrogen bonds mediate the characteristic L-shaped molecular structure. tRNAs have two regions of fundamental functional importance: the anti-codon, which is responsible for specific mRNA codon recognition, and the 3' end, to which the tRNAs corresponding amino acid is attached (by aminoacyl-tRNA synthetases). tRNAs cope with the degeneracy of the genetic code in two manners: having more than one tRNA (with a specific anti-codon) for a particular amino acid; and 'wobble' base-pairing, i.e. permitting non-standard base-pairing at the 3rd anti-codon position.
Source: Rfam by way of RNAcentral